CAACUACUCCCUCUGUCCCAAAUUUCUUGUCUUAGAUUUGUCUAGAUAUGGAUGUAUCUGUGACUUGAUACAUCCAUAUCUAGACAAAUCUAAGACAAGAUUUUGGGACGGAGUUAGUACUUU
This is a non-coding RNA of Triticum aestivum (bread wheat), 123 nucleotides long. NCBI's taxonomy places the organism in Eukaryota, Viridiplantae, Streptophyta, Magnoliopsida, Poales, Poaceae. The record is from Rfam.